RNAcentral lists this ribosomal RNA (497 nucleotides) under uncultured bacterium. RNAcentral's name for it is "partial 16S ribosomal RNA". It matches the Rfam family "Bacterial small subunit ribosomal RNA", at positions 28 to 523 of the family's 1533-position model. The record is from RNAcentral.
GAUGAACGCUGGCGGCGUGCUUAACACAUGCAAGUCGAACGAAGCACCUUAUUCUGAUUUCUUCGGAAUGAAAAAUUUGGUGACUGAGUGGCGGACGGGUGAGUAACGCGUGGGUAACCUGCCUCAUACAGGGGGAUAACAGUUAGAAAUGACUGCUAAUACCGCAUAAGACCACAGCACCGCAUGGUGCAGGGGUAAAAACUCCGGUGGUAUGAGAUGGACCCGCGGCUGAUUAGGUAGUUGGUGGGGUAACGGCCUACCAAGCCGACGAUCGGGAGCCGAACUGAGAGGGUGACGGGCGACAUUGGGACUGAGAACCGGCACAAACGCCUACGGGAGGCAGCAGUGGGGAAUAUUGCACAAUGGGGGAAACCCUGAUGCAGCGACGCCGCGUGAGCGAUGAAGUAUUCCGGUAUGUAAAGCUCUAUCAGCAGGGAAGAAAAGGACGGUACCUGACCAAGAAGCACCGGCUAAAUACGUGCCAGCCGCCGCCGUAA